Molecule: small nucleolar RNA, 107 nt
Organism: Gossypium raimondii (Peruvian cotton)
Lineage: Eukaryota; Viridiplantae; Streptophyta; Magnoliopsida; Malvales; Malvaceae
Rfam family: Plant small nucleolar RNA R71
About the family: R71 is a member of the C/D box family of snoRNAs containing the C (UGAUGA) and D (CUGA) box motifs. Multiple nearly identical copies of this snoRNA have been identified in Arabidopsis, and it is thought to function as a 2'-O-ribose methylation guide for 18S ribosomal RNA.
Source: Rfam
AUCCCAUGAUGAGGGCACUUACAAAGUAAUUUUUUGAAUCUCUCCCAUUCCCCGUGCAAAGAUUUGUCAUCCAAUUGUUGAAAAAUGGUUAUCUCAUUUCGCAACAU